Molecule: long non-coding RNA, 857 nt
Filed under: Salvia miltiorrhiza (redroot sage)
Lineage: Eukaryota; Viridiplantae; Streptophyta; Magnoliopsida; Lamiales; Lamiaceae
Description: long non-coding RNA (SMIL_LNC006621)
Source: RNAcentral
UUCGCUACAAAAAUUUCAUUUCGAGAUCAAUUAACUUGGUACGUAGUAGGUAGAAUAAUAUUACUUUAAUUUCUAAUUUUCUAUAUAAGAGUGCUGAUUAACAAUUUAGAAUUCACUGACAAUCGAUGAUAACAAUAUGAAACUAAUUAAUUAUCUAGAGUAACACGUAACAAACAAAAGGUUUGACAAACGACCACAAACUAAUGAAACGACAUCGCACAUACACAUACACAUGCACACUGAAAACUGCAACACAUUAGCUGAAGUAGCAAAGAGAUCACAACUUCAAGGGUACGGCGAAGCGCCGGUACCUCCACCAGCUCCACCGCCGACUCCGACACCAUCUCCGCCACCAACUCCGCCGAGUCCGCCCAAAUUGCCAAUUCCGCCUCCAAGGCCUCCAAGGCCACCAGUCGGCAGUGUUCCAAUGCCACCGGCAAUGCCGCCGUUGAGUCCGCCGCCGGUGGCACCUAGGCCGCCGCCAAUGCCUCCGAAGGGGAGGCCGCUUCCGCCGAUGCCGGAGUAGCCGCCGAGGCCUCCGAAAGUGGCAAAGUUCUUCUGGUCUGCGUAACCGUCGGCAGGCAAAACCCUAGCUGCAAUCUGAUGAGCUGCAACAAGAAGAGCAACCACAAACAUCAACCACAACUUCGCCAUUAAUUAAAUUUUUAUUCACCUUGUUUUCUUGAUUGAUGGCUCAAACAGUGUGGAGUAGCGUGUGUUAAAUAGAGGCGGAGAAAGCGAACAGUUGGAAAUAUUGAAUGAAGGAAGAAUAAAUGCAAAUUUCAUGGCAUAUAUAUGUCUUCUCUUACUGUAUCUCUAUUCUCUCUCUUUCUCAUGCAUGUACACUUCACUUUCUC